Molecule: ribosomal RNA, 497 nt
Filed under: uncultured bacterium
Lineage: Bacteria
Description: partial 16S ribosomal RNA
Rfam family: Bacterial small subunit ribosomal RNA
Source: RNAcentral
GAUGAACGCUGGCGGCGUGCCUAAUACAUGCAAGUCGAGCGAACAGACGAGGAGCUUGCUCCCCUGACGUUAGCGGCGGACGGGUGAGUAACACGUGGAUAACCUACCUCUAAGACUGGGAUAACAUCGGGAAACCGGAGCCAAUACCGGCUAAUAUAUUGAACCGCAGGGUUCAAUAGUGAAAGACGGUUUUGCUGUCACUUUUAGAUGGAUCCGCGUCGCAUUAGCUAGUUGGUAAGGUAACGGCUUACCAAGGCAACGAUGCGUAGCCGACCUGAGAGGAUGAUCGGCCACACUGGAACUGAGACACGGUCCAGACUCCUACGGGAGGCAGCAGUAGGGAAUCUUCCGCAAUGGGCGAAAGCCUGACGGAGCAACACCGCGUGAGUGAUGAAGGUCUUCGGAUCGUAAAACUCUGUUAUUAGGAAAGAACAAAUGUGUAAUUAACUAUGCACGUCUUGACGGUACCUAAACAAAAAGCCACGGCUAACUACGUG